Molecule: unclassified non-coding RNA, 333 nt
Filed under: soil metagenome
Description: partial contains 5.8S ribosomal RNA, internal transcribed spacer 2, and large subunit ribosomal RNA
Rfam family: 5.8S ribosomal RNA (bases 1-121)
Source: RNAcentral
GAUGAAGAACGCAGCGAAAUGCGAUAAGUAAUGCGAAUUGCAGAAUUUCCGUGAAUCAUCGAAUCUUUGAACGCACAUUGCGCCCGCUAGUAUUCUGGCGGGCAUGCCUGUUCGAGCGUCAUUUCAACCAUCAAGCCCUGUUUAGGCUUGUGUUGGGGCCCUGCGGCUGCCGCAGCCCCCUAAAUGCAGUGGCGGGCUCGUUGUCACUCCGAGCGCAGUAGCGUAUCUCGCUCUGGGCGUGGCGGCGGGUGCUAGCCGUGAAACACCCACUAAGGUUGACCUCGGAUCAGGUAGGAAUACCCGCUGAACUUAAGCAUAUCAAUAAGCGGAGGA